AAUAAAUCACCAGCAAUAUAUCUUCACUGGCCUGCAUCCAGCACUUUAUUGGAAUUACAUCUUUCCAGAAGCCCUCAGCUGAACUUCUGACCAGAGAAAACAGCAGCUACAUAACAGCCCACAACUGGGAUGCAGAGAGAUGGGGAGAGGAAGUAACUCCUGAAAUGCUGGCCACAGAACUGGAAACCAGACUGCAAUUUUCCUGACUCUACUCUAGCACAUCCCCAUUAGAAGAAAGAAUUAAAUCAGCAAUGAAAGAAAGAGGUGGAGAAAGGCAUCAGAAAAUCACAAGAAAAAGAAAAAAACAUGAUACAAAUAUGAAACCAUAUAAGGUGUGAAACCAGAAUUAACAGAAAAAGAGGAUAUGAAAAGCAGAAAAUGCAUAGAAAGGAAAAUAUUAAAUAAUUAUAUAGACAACAUUAAAAUUUGAAAAUUAUACAGAAUUUUGUUUUACUUUAAUAACAGAAAAGUGAGAUGAGUUUAGGUCUACUCUGAGCUAUUUUAAACCAAUAUUGUUUUGGAGACGAUUGUUCAGCUUAAGAGUUCUGUUUGAAUAUAUAUAAGGCUAUGGAUUAUAUAACAUGCAGACUAAAAAAGAAAAAGCACUCAGUGGCAAAUACUGAUUUCAAUAAAAUAGCAUGUGGGAAGGACACAUUUUUCAGGAAAUACCAUUUUCAAUACCAUAAAGGAGCUCAAUCCCAACAAAUGUCAAUUGAAGAUAUUACAGCAGUGCCAUGCAGACAGGAACUCUAUAUAAAGUACACAUUUUACAUCACUCUAUGAUUGUUAAACAAUUUCACAUUGCUUUUCAUAUCUUACAUGUUAAAACUGAAGCUAAUUAAACUAUGAAGACUUGUUAGAAAUACAUACAAUGCACAUUAAAUUAUACAUUUUAAUGCUUUCA
Long non-coding RNA from Parus major (Great Tit), 904 nucleotides. RefSeq lists it as uncharacterized. NCBI's taxonomy places the organism in Eukaryota, Metazoa, Chordata, Aves, Passeriformes, Paridae. The transcript has 2 exons. The record is from RefSeq and is a predicted model, not a curated record.